Molecule: ribosomal RNA, 436 nt
Filed under: uncultured bacterium
Lineage: Bacteria
Description: bacterial SSU rRNA
Rfam family: Bacterial small subunit ribosomal RNA
Source: RNAcentral
UGAGGAAUAUUGGUCAAUGGGCGUUAGCCUGAACCAGCCAAGUAGCGUGAAGGAUGAAGGCUCUAUGGGUCGUAAACUUCUUUUAUAUAAGAAUAAAGUGCAGUAUGUAUACUGUUUUGUAUGUAUUAUAUGAAUAAGGAUCGGCUAACUCCGUGCCAGCAGCCGCGGUAAUACGGAGGAUCCGAGCGUUAUCCGGAUUUAUUGGGUUUAAAGGGAGCGUAGGUGGACUGGUAAGUCAGUUGUGAAAGUUUGCGGCUCAACCGUAAAAUUGCAGUUGAUACUGUCAGUCUUGAGUACAGUAGAGGUGGGCGGAAUUCGUGGUGUAGCGGUGAAAUGCAUAGAUAUCACGCAGAACUCCGAUUGCGAAGGCAGCGUACCGGCGCCCAACUGACGCUGAAGCACGAAGGCGUGGGGUAUCGAACAGGGAUUAGAUACC